Molecule: ribosomal RNA, 253 nt
Filed under: uncultured bacterium
Lineage: Bacteria
Description: partial 16S ribosomal RNA
Rfam family: Bacterial small subunit ribosomal RNA
Source: RNAcentral
CACGUAGGAGGCAAACGUUAUCCGGAUUUAUUGGGUUUAAAGGGUGCGUAGGCGGAAGAAUAAGUCAGUGGUGAAAGUUUGCAGCUCAACUGUAAAAUUGCCGUUGAAACUGUUUUUCUUGAGUGUGGUCAAGGAAGGCGGAAUGUGUAAUGUAGCGGUGAAAUGCUUAGAUAUUACACAGAACACCAAUUGCGAAGGCAGCUUUCUGGAGCGCAACUGACGCUGAGGCACGAAAGCGUGGGGAUCGAACAGG